CCUACGGGGGGCAGCAGUGGGGAAUAUUGGACAAUGGGGGGAACCCUGAUCCAGCCAUGCCGCGUGUGUGAAGAAGGCCCUCGGGUUGUAAAGCACUUCCAGUGAGGAAGAACGCCUGGUGGUUAAUACCCAUCAGGAAAGACAUCACUCACAGAAGAAGCACCGGCUAACUCCGUGCCAGCAGCCGCGGUAAUACGGAGGGUGCGAGCGUUAAUCGGAAUUACUGGGCGUAAAGCGCGCGUAGGUGGCUUGAUAAGCCGGUUGUGAAAGCCCCGGGCUCAACCUGGGAACGGCAUCCGGAACUGUCAAGCUAGAGUGCAGGAGAGGAAGGUAGAAUUCCCGGUGUAGCGGUGAAAUGCGUAGAGAUCGGGAGGAAUACCAGUGGCGAAGGCGGCCUUCUGGACUGACACUGACACUGAGGUGCGAAAGCGUGGGUAGCAAACAGGAUUAGAUACCCCAGUAGUC
Molecule: ribosomal RNA, 465 nt
Filed under: Vreelandella stevensii
Lineage: Bacteria; Pseudomonadati; Pseudomonadota; Gammaproteobacteria; Oceanospirillales; Halomonadaceae
Description: partial 16S ribosomal RNA
Rfam family: Bacterial small subunit ribosomal RNA
Source: RNAcentral